RNAcentral lists this long non-coding RNA (317 nucleotides) under Capra hircus (goat). Its description in RNAcentral is "lncRNA (ENSCHIG00010008665.1)". The record is from RNAcentral. Lineage: Eukaryota; Metazoa; Chordata; Mammalia; Artiodactyla; Bovidae.
CGCGGAGGUCAGGAGGGAGGGCAGAGGGGGUCAGAGGCCGGCCCUUCCCGGCCCCCGGCGCCCCCGGAGGUCAGGGAGAUAAGAAACAAUGACUCUCGCCCCCGGGAGGAGGAAGGAAGCCCCGCUGCCGCCGCCUUAUCUCCGCUCCCGUGCGUUCUCCCAGUUCCCAGAGCUGGUUCUCUAGAGAGGACUUGGAAGGCGGCUUUUGACCCCCUCUGCAGAUGUCCUGAACACUUCUGACUACAGCAAUUGAUUUUUCAACCGGGAUACCUAAUUCCAGGUAUUAGCUCUUGUCAGAAAGCUUUUACAUCCAAGCU